ACUUCGGUCAAUUGAAGCUUUGACUUAGUGGCGGACGGGUGAGUAACGCGUGGGUAACCUGCCUUAUACUGGGGGAUAACAGCCAGAAAUGACUGCUAAUACCGCAUAAGCGCACGGUACCGCAUGGUACAGUGUGAAAAACUCCGGUGGUGUGAGAUGGACCCGCGUCUGAUUAGCUUGUUGGUGAGGUAACGGCCCACCAAGGCGACGAUCAGUAGCCGGUCUGAGAGGAUGAACGGCCACACUGGAACUGAGACACGGUCCAGACUCC
This 271-nucleotide ribosomal RNA is filed under the name uncultured Eubacteriales bacterium. RNAcentral describes it as "uncultured Clostridiales bacterium partial 16S ribosomal RNA". It matches the Rfam family "Bacterial small subunit ribosomal RNA", at positions 72 to 339 of the family's 1533-position model. Lineage: Bacteria; Bacillati; Bacillota; Clostridia; Eubacteriales. The record is from RNAcentral.